Molecule: ribosomal RNA, 113 nt
Filed under: Peromyscus maniculatus bairdii (prairie deer mouse)
Lineage: Eukaryota; Metazoa; Chordata; Mammalia; Rodentia; Cricetidae
Source: RNAcentral
GUCAACAACCAUGCCAUACUGAACUUGAUCAAACUCCUUUGAUCUUGGAAGCUAAGCAGGGUCAGGGUCUGCUUAGUAUCUGGAAAUAAUUAAAAAUUAGAUUCCUGUUUUUC